CACCUCCAAUAGUUGAAGCUGCCAGCAUGAUCUAAACUCUUCUUAUACAGGAAAGACUAGAUCAUGUGGUAGCUUCACCUGUUUGAUGG
Molecule: microRNA precursor, 89 nt
Filed under: Rosa chinensis
Lineage: Eukaryota; Viridiplantae; Streptophyta; Magnoliopsida; Rosales; Rosaceae
Description: sRNA RchiOBHm_Chr3g0451191
Rfam family: MIR167 microRNA precursor family
Source: RNAcentral